CUGUGUUUCCAUGGAAACGACAUAGGUCAAUAGCUGAAGUCACACCUUUGCCAGCCUUGAUUGCAUCUUGCAACUGUGAGGAAACACAUGCACAAUAUCAUCAAUUUUGAUAGAAAUAACUGCACACAGAAUGCUAAGAAAACAUUACGGAUUAUAAACUAAAAAUAAUAAUUCACCACCCUAAAAAGCACUAGUACUCUCUAAACAAUGGAACACCUCAAUCAAUUUAAAUUAUUAAUCACGUAUUGAUAACUCAAGGUUCCCUGAAAGAUGAAUAUAAGUACAUAGAAGGCUUUCAGAUACUCCUACAUGCGAUCAUUACUCAAUAUGAUUUUGUCCAAUGAAUGAUCUUAUAACAAAUUCAUGUACAUUUUUGUACUGAUUUUCACAACAAAGCAGAUGGAUAUGGACAUUCAUUUGUUAAUGUUCUAUAUCUAUAUCUAAAUAUAGAUAUAUGAUUUAGCAAUGUAUUUUAUUCUGUUUAUACACUGUACAUUUAGAUCUGGAAUAUACAUUUCAAAAUGAACUUUCUAUGAUCAUUGCAAUCUAUAGCCCCUUUACUCUGGAAUACCAUUCUCUCUACUCUCUAACUUUAAUACCAUUAAUCAGGAGGCAAAUAGGCUACUGUUGAUUUCAGCCCAUGCGGGUGAUCCACCAAACACUGCUAGUCUGCCAUCUUCGUUUAUUCCAAGGGGGAAAAUAACAUGGGUCUCAAGGAGACCUUCAGCCAACACACAAGAUAGGAGGACCUCGUUUCUCACCGUCACGACAUCUACAGUUCUGCAUAUCCGCGAUAAGGCAACUGACACCAGAACUUGUAUUCUAUCAGGAUUCCAAGUGAAAGACACUGUACCCAAACAGAUCCAGAAGAAUUAACAGAUUAUACACAGAUUCAGAGAAGGGAUUCUUCACUGGAACAAUCUGGCCUGCAUGAAUGAAUAUACAGUAUGAAGGGCAUUGCUACAACCUAAAUAUAAAUUUUCAUUUAAGACCUCCAAUGUAUUUUUGACAAAUAUCCUUAAGUUGUUACUUGAGCUGCAUAUUCCACAUUAUAUUAACUAUUAUAGUCGUCAAGACCCCAAGCGUCCUGAACACAGUUAUUAGGCUAAC
Molecule: long non-coding RNA, 1110 nt
Organism: Hemicordylus capensis (graceful crag lizard)
Lineage: Eukaryota; Metazoa; Chordata; Lepidosauria; Squamata; Cordylidae
Exons: 3
Source: RefSeq, a predicted model, not a curated record